GCAAACUUUGCCUUGUUAUCUUGCAAGCAUUCUGAUACUCUAGCAAACAAGGGCAACCACAUUUUUCUUGUGUCCCUGACACUGACUUUUGGGUGGUCUUGGGACAAAUAUCCAUCCCUUUGAUUCCCUUUUUUUCUCCUCAUGUGUGGAAAGAGGGACCACAGUGUCUUUCCUGCAUGUGUCUCAGAGAAAAGAGUGAAUGUUUGUUUCACAUUUCAGCUUAAGAAGGUCUUUCCUUCAGUACCUGCCAGCUGAACAAGCUUGUCUCUUUUCAAAGAGGCAGGCCCUCCUUGAGGUGCAUUACUGUGCAGUGAUGAAGAAGGCCUCUUUGUAGCAUUUCCUCUGCCAAGGUUAGGCCCAUGCAGCUAUUUGUCUGACUUUGUUGCUCAUUCCAGGUGCUCCCAGGUCUCCACAUCUUUCCCUGGUGGAGCUCCUCUGUCUGCGGACACACAUCAGGGAGCCACCAGUUACUAGACCUGAUCUGGGGAGAUGACAUCAAUAGUUUCAUUUAAUCUGCCCAGUGGCCCUACAAGGUUCAUUUAUAAACUCGACUCCUCGCUGAUGGCCCCAGUCUUUCUGAUCCACACCCCCUUCAUUCCAGGAAAACUGAAAGUCCCAGGUACAAUUAGGCUUAUCAGCACAAGGGACAAAGACCCUGUAAAAGAAUGACUAAUUGGUCGAAGGAACCAAAGGCUGAAGUGAAGAAUCACCUUUUAAAGUGGAACUUCUCCUUGACUUCACUUGUAAAAGCCCUGCCGAACAUUGACGGCAUAGAAACCAGGGAGGGCAAGGAAGCAGUGUGUCAUUUCCCCUACACCUUCAGAGAUAAUGGUCCAUGCUGAUCUGUGAUUUAUUUCUUGUACCAAAAGCUC
RNAcentral lists this long non-coding RNA (872 nucleotides) under Vulpes vulpes (red fox). RNAcentral's name for it is "lncRNA (ENSVVUG00000000224.1)". The record is from RNAcentral. Lineage: Eukaryota; Metazoa; Chordata; Mammalia; Carnivora; Canidae.